AUAUAAUGUCCGGGAGCAAUGAGAGGAGCUGGUAGAAUCCAAGACAGCCUAUGCAAGUGAUGCUCCGAGGACAGCGGGGCAGUUAAUACUGUGGGGAAAAAGCAUUCAGAGAGUUUCAGGCAGUAGUCCCAAAUGACAGGUGUGUGUGUGUGUGUGUGUGUGUGUGUGUGUGUGUGUGUGUGUGUGUGUAUGAUAA
Molecule: long non-coding RNA, 196 nt
Organism: Acomys russatus (golden spiny mouse)
Lineage: Eukaryota; Metazoa; Chordata; Mammalia; Rodentia; Muridae
Exons: 2
Source: RefSeq, a predicted model, not a curated record